This 685-nucleotide small RNA is filed under the name Arabidopsis thaliana (thale cress). RNAcentral describes it as "ATSL150810". Lineage: Eukaryota; Viridiplantae; Streptophyta; Magnoliopsida; Brassicales; Brassicaceae. The record is from RNAcentral.
AAAUAUUUAAAUAAAAGAGUUUCUAAUUUUAAAGUUAACAGUGACCCGGCCCGAACUCUACGUCACGUCAUGAUAUAGACUGAUAAUGGAAUGCAAAGAAUCAGGUAAGGUAAUGGUGAACAAAUUUAGAAGAGAUGAUGCAAAGUAGGCUCGGACAUAUCAGCCGAAUCUAUCAAAUCUUCACCAAACAAAAAUUUGAGGCGAGUAGAGUCUUCUUGAGAAGAAUAGGGGUGGCGCUUUGGUCUAUGUGGCAUCACUAAUCCGUGGGAGAUGGUUCUUGUCGUUUGUACAGGAAUGGCAAUUGGAAGUAGUUUCUCUGGUUGUCCGUAGAUGCUCCUGUAACCGUCGGGUUUGUGUUUUAGUCUGCUGUUGUCAUCGCGUUUACGUUAGUUUGCAGAGAAGUUGUAGGCGUUUUAUCUAGAGGUUUUGUGGACUGACUUCUAAUAGAGUUGAUGGGACUCUAACUCUUUGAAGUUGUGGAAAUCACGCAAAUUUCUGAGUUUGGCAACUCAGAAUCGGUGUUUCUUCUUUCGUCUUUGUUUUGGACUUAUGCUCUCCUCUUUUGAUGAUUUGUUAUCGUCUGUUUAUUCUGUAGAUCUUGGUUAUUCUCUGCUACUUGUAUUCUUUGUAAUUUCUGUUGAAACUUCAAAAAUGGUAUAAAUACUUCACCUUUUACCAAAAAAAA